This 668-nucleotide ribosomal RNA is filed under the name uncultured bacterium. RNAcentral describes it as "bacterial SSU rRNA". It matches the Rfam family "Bacterial small subunit ribosomal RNA", at positions 82 to 750 of the family's 1533-position model. The record is from RNAcentral.
UCGGGAAGCUAGAGCGGCGCACGGGUGAGUAACGCGUACAUGACCUACCUUUAAGACUGUGAUAGCCCUGGGAAACUGGGAUUAAUAACGGAUGUGAUAAUAGGUAUAAGGAUUUAUUAUUAAAGAUGAGUCGCUUAGAGAUGGGUGUGCGUCUGAUUAGCUAGUUGGUAGGGUAACGGCCUACCAAGGCGACGAUCAGUAGGGGGCGUGAGAGCGUGACCCCCCACACGGGUACUGAGACACGGACCCGACUCCUACGGGAGGCAGCAGUAAGGAAUAUUGGUCAAUGGACGAAAGUCUGAACCAGCCAUCCCGCGUGCAGGAUGACUGCCCUAUGGGUUGUAAACUGCUUUUAGUAGAGAAGAAACGCAGUCAUUUAUGAUUGCCUGACGGUACCUACAGAAUAAGCACCGGCUAACUCCGUGCCAGCAGCCGCGGUAAUACGGAGGGUGCGAGCGUUAUCCGGAAUCACUGGGUUUAAAGGGUGCGUAGGCGGGGAAUUAAGUCAGUGGUGAAAUCUUGUCGCUUAACGAUAAAAUUGCCAUUGAUACUGAUUUUCUUGAAUUGGGUUGAGGUUAGCGGAAUGUGACAUGUAGCGGUGAAAUGCAUAGAUAUGUCAUGGAACACCAAUUGCGAAGGCAGCUAGCUGGGCCUUGAUUGACGCUGAG